This 428-nucleotide ribosomal RNA is filed under the name uncultured bacterium. RNAcentral describes it as "bacterial SSU rRNA". It matches the Rfam family "Bacterial small subunit ribosomal RNA", at positions 355 to 774 of the family's 1533-position model. The record is from RNAcentral.
UGGGGAAUUUUGGACAAUGGGCGAAAGCCUGAUCCAGCCAUGCCGCGUGCGGGAAGAAGGCCUUCGGGUUGUAAACCGCUUUAGUCCGGGAAAAAGGGCUGACGUGCUAAUACCGCGUUGGUUUGAUGGUACUGGAAGAAUAAGCACCGGCUAACUACGUGCCAGCAGCCGCGGUAAUACGUAGGGUGCGAGCGUUAAUCGGAAUUACUGGGCGUAAAGCGUGCGCAGGCGGUCUUGUAAGACUGUCGUGAAAGCCCCGGGCUUAACCUGGGAACUGCGAUUGUGACUGCAAGGCUAGAGUGUGUCAGAGGGGGGUGGAAUUCCGCGUGUAGCAGUGAAAUGCGUAGAGAUGUGGAGGAACACCGAUGGCGAAGGCAGCCCCCUGGGAUAACACUGACGCUCAUGCACGAAAGCGUGGGGAGCAAACA